GGGUGGAAGACAGCCACAGGAAGGGAGCCCCUUACAGCAGCCUAUCCUGGCAACUUUUAACACCUCAGGGCUGAUCAUCACCACCACAUUACCAUUGCCUGUGACAACAGCCUGCUCUAUACUCUGCAACCUGUUGGUUCUGAGCUAUAGGCUACCGAGGGUCUAAGCUCGGCUUCCUGGUCUCUCCUGCCUGCUUCCUCACAGCUCUCUCUGGUCUCCCUAUCCCGCUCCUUUGAGGCAACCACUCUGCUUCAGCCCCUCAUUUGGAAUCAAGAAGAUCUGAGUUCAAACCUAGCAGCCAACACUUCUUAGUUGAGUAACCUCUCUCUGCCUCGGCUUCUUCAUUUAUAAAAUGGAGCUAGUAAUAGAAACAAAAUGAGAUAAUAAAAAGUACUUUGCAAACUUAAAGGGCCAUAUAAAAAUGUUAGUCAUGAUUAUAUCCAAAACAGAAUUUUCCCGUUCCCCCAAAUCUACUUCUCUUCUUAACUUUUCUAUUUCUGUUGAGGGAAUCAUUAAAUUUCCAGUCACUCAGAUUAGCAAUCCCACAGUUGCCUUUGUCUCUUUCUUUUCUCUCACCUCCCACACCCAAUUAGCUGUAACAACCUGUUGUUUCUAUAUAGCUCCACAAUAUCUGUCACAUCCACUCCUUUCAUUCCACUCACACAGUUAACAUUCUCACUCAGUCUCUCAUUACCUGUCACCUGGACUGUUGCAAUAACCUGAAAUAAGUGUUGUGAAAUGAACAGAACUGGGAAAAUGUUGUAGACCAUAAUGAUAAUAUUGUUUGAUGAAGAACUGUGAAUGACUUAGCUAUUCUCAGUAACACAAUGAUCCAAGACGAUUCCAAAGGAUUAAUGAUGAAGCAUUCUAUGAUACUAUUUGAAUAUAGAUUGAAGCAUACGGUUUUUACUUUCAUUUAAAAAAUUUUAAUUGGGUCUUCUUGUACAAAAUGACUAACAUGGAAAGGUUUACAUAAUUGCACACAUAUAACUUAUACCUGAUUGUUUACCAUUUCAGGGAGUGGGAAGGGGAGAGAGGGAAGGAUAGAAUUUGGAAUUCAAAACUUUAAAAAGAGAAUACAUUAGUGUAGAAGGAAUGAAAGUGGAAUUAUUUGCUAUUUCUCAUAACCAGGAUUCACAAACAAUAUAUAAAUAAUCAAGGGAGCUUAAUUUUUGGCACUUUAUUGUUUAAUUUUGUUGAAAAAAAUUAAAUAUAAAUAAAAUAAAAAUGAUUUUCAAAGACAAAAAAUUAUUGAUAUCCUCUCUCUUAUAUCAUCAUGAUUAUCCCAAGUAUUCCUCUCCCUCCUCUUCCCUAAAAGUGGUCCAUAAGACAAAAAGUAUUUUAGAGGGAAAAAUUAAUCACCAUAGAUCAAUACAC
Molecule: long non-coding RNA, 1377 nt
Organism: Antechinus flavipes (yellow-footed antechinus)
Lineage: Eukaryota; Metazoa; Chordata; Mammalia; Dasyuromorphia; Dasyuridae
Exons: 3
Source: RefSeq, a predicted model, not a curated record